RNAcentral lists this ribosomal RNA (654 nucleotides) under Pseudobdellovibrionaceae bacterium. Its description in RNAcentral is "Bdellovibrionaceae bacterium (bioreactor metagenome) partial 23S ribosomal RNA". It matches the Rfam family "Bacterial large subunit ribosomal RNA", at positions 1 to 651 of the family's 2925-position model. The record is from RNAcentral. Lineage: Bacteria; Pseudomonadati; Bdellovibrionota; Bdellovibrionia; Bdellovibrionales; Pseudobdellovibrionaceae.
UUUUAAGCUACUAAGGGCUUACGGUGGAUGCCUUGGCACCAAGAAGCGAAGAAGGACGCGGAUAACUGCGAAAAGCCUCGGUAAGCCGUAACAGGCGUUAUAGCCGGGGAUCUCCGAAUGGGGCAACCCACCAGCAUGUCUGGUAUUCUGUGAUGAAUUCAUAGUUACAGAAAGCAAACGAGGGGAAGUGAAACAUCUCAGUACCCUCAGGAAAAUAAAUCAAUCGAGAUUCCCCUAGUAGUGGCGAGCGAACGGGGAACAGCCCAAACCUUGUUCACAUUGUGAACGAGGGGUUGUGGGACCUCAAUAUGGUACUGGAGAGUCUAGCAGAACGUUCUGGGAAGUACGGCCAAAGAAGGUGAUAGCCCUGUAAGCGAAAGACUCAAGAGACCUAGAGGUAUCCCGAGUACCAACGGACACGAGAAAUCCGCUGGGAAUCUGGGGCGACCACGCUCCAAGGCUAAAUAUUACUUGGUGACCGAUAGCGCAUAGUACCGUGAGGGAAAGGUGAAAAGAACCCCGAGCAGGGGAGUGAAAUAGAAUUCUGAAACCGUAAGCCUACAAGCAGUGGAAGCACUAUGUGUCUGACACAAGUGUGACCGCGUACCUUUUGCAUAAUGAGCCAGCGAGUUAUUUUUGCAUGCAAGGUUAAGC